UAAAUAAAAUUUUGGACUUGGGCCUCUCUCAUUUGAGCCCACAAGUCCACAAAAAUCAGGUUAUAAAUUUAGAGUUUCAGUGAAACAAAAUUUCAUUCUAUUCAUAUUACCCUGGCAAGGAAAAAGAUAGUGAGAGAAGAGCUAACAGAGUUCAGAGCAACCUCCAGAGACUGAAGGGAACUCAUCGGCAAAGAACCAAUUCCCUCUCUUAUAAACCCUAAGAGU
This 225-nucleotide long non-coding RNA is filed under the name Lathyrus oleraceus (garden pea). RNAcentral describes it as "Pisum sativum (pea) long non-coding RNA (PSAT_LNC007440)". Lineage: Eukaryota; Viridiplantae; Streptophyta; Magnoliopsida; Fabales; Fabaceae. The record is from RNAcentral.